Molecule: ribosomal RNA, 831 nt
Filed under: uncultured bacterium
Lineage: Bacteria
Description: bacterial SSU rRNA
Rfam family: Bacterial small subunit ribosomal RNA
Source: RNAcentral
AGUCGACGGUUAAGCAUCUUCGGAUGUGUAUAAAGUGGCGAACGGCUGAGUAACACGUGGGCAACCUGCCCUUUGCACUGGGAUAGCCUCGGGAAACCGAGGUUAAUACCGGAUACUCCAUAUCCACCGCAUGAUAGAUAUGGGAAAGCUCCGGCGGCAAAGGAUGGGCCCGCGGCCUGUUAGCUAGUUGGUGGGGUAGUGGCCUACCAAGGCAAUGAUGGGUAGCCGGGUUGAGAGACCGACCGGCCAGAUUGGGACUGAGACACGGCCCAGACUCCUACGGGAGGCAGCAGUGGGGAAUCUUGCACAAUGGGCGAAAGCCUGAUGCAGCGACGCCGCGUGCGGGAUGAAGGCCUUCGGGUUGUAAACCGCUUUCAGCAGGGACGAGGCCGCAAGGUGACGGUACCUGCAGAAGAAGCCCCGGCUAACUACGUGCCAGCAGCCGCGGUAAUACGUAGGGGGCAAGCGUUAUCCGGAUUCAUUGGGCGUAAAGCGCGCGUAGGCGGUCUGUUAGGUCAGGAGUCAAAUCUGGGGGCUCAACCCCUAUCCGCUCCUGAUACCGGCAGGCUUGAGUCUGGUAUGGGAAGGUGGAAUUCCAAGUGUAGCGGUGAAAUGCGCAGAUAUUUGGAAGAACACCAGUGGCGAAGGCGGCCCUCUGGGCCAUGACUGACGCUGAGGCGCGAAAGCUAGGGGAGCGAACAGGAUUAGAUACCCUGGUAGUCCUAGCUGUAAACGAUGGACACUAGGUGUGGGGAGAUUAUACUUUCCGUGCCGCAGCUAACGCAUUAAGUGUCCCGCCUGGGGAGUACGGUCGCAAGACUAAAACUCAAA